RNAcentral lists this ribosomal RNA (371 nucleotides) under uncultured organism. RNAcentral describes it as "bacterial SSU rRNA". It matches the Rfam family "Bacterial small subunit ribosomal RNA", at positions 526 to 896 of the family's 1533-position model. The record is from RNAcentral.
CAGAGGGUGCGAGCGUUAAUCGGAAUUACUGGGCGUAAAGCGCGCGUAGGCGGCUUUGCAAGUCGGGUGUGAAAUCCCCAGGCUUAACCUGGGAACUGCAUUCGAGACUGCAUUGCUAGAGUAUGGGAGAGGGAAGUGGAAUUUCCGGUGUAGCGGUGAAAUGCGUAGAUAUCGGAAGGAACAUCAGUGGCGAAAGCGACUUCCUGGACCAAUACUGACGCUCAUGUGCGAAAGCGUGGGGAGCAAACAGGAUUAGAUACCCUGGUAGUCCACGCCAAUAAACGAUGAGAACUGGAUGGUCGGGAGGGUCUGCCUCUCGGUGUCGUAGCUAACGCGUUAAGUCUCCGCCUGGGGAUACGGCCGCAAGGUUG